GCCGUUGUAGCUCAGUAGUAGAGCGAUUGUCUUGAACAGAAAAGGUCUCUGGUUCGAUCCCAGGCUGCGGCA
Molecule: non-coding RNA, 72 nt
Organism: Pleodorina starrii
Lineage: Eukaryota; Viridiplantae; Chlorophyta; Chlorophyceae; Chlamydomonadales; Volvocaceae
Source: the annotation of a GenBank genome assembly